AUUGAACGCUGGCGGAAUGCUUUACACAUGCAAGUCGAACGGUAGAGGGGGCAACCCAUCGAGAGUGGCGAACGGGUGAGUAAUAUAUCGGAACGUGCCCAGUCGUGGGGGAUAACGUAGCGAAAGUUACGCUAAUACCGCAUACGAUCUAAGGAUGAAAGCGGGGGAUCGCAAGACCUCGCGCGAUUGGAGCGGCCGAUAGCAGAUUAGGUAGUUGGUGGGGUAAAGGCUCACCAAGCCAACGAUCUGUAGCUGGUCUGAGAGGACGACCAGCCACACUGGAACUGAGAGACAGUCCAGACUCCUACGGGAGGCAGCAGUGGGGAAUUUUGGACAAUGGACGCAAGUCUGAUCCAGCCAUUCCGCGUGCAGGAUGAAGGCCCUCGGGUUGUAAACUGCUUUUGUACGGAACGAAAAGGUCUCUCUUAAUACGGGGGACUCAUGACGGUACCGUAAGAAUAAGCACCGGCUAACUACGUGCCAGCAGCCGCUGUAA
This 496-nucleotide ribosomal RNA is filed under the name uncultured bacterium. RNAcentral's name for it is "partial 16S ribosomal RNA". It matches the Rfam family "Bacterial small subunit ribosomal RNA", at positions 30 to 523 of the family's 1533-position model. The record is from RNAcentral.